CCACAUCACAUUGAAAUACCAGUUCCCACAUUAUCACCAAAGUUAAGCAAUAUUGAGCCUGGUCAAUACCUAGAUGGGUGAGCACUUGGGAAUACCAGGUGCUGG
Molecule: ribosomal RNA, 105 nt
Filed under: Acanthosepion pharaonis
Lineage: Eukaryota; Metazoa; Mollusca; Cephalopoda; Sepiida; Sepiidae
Source: RNAcentral